This is a non-coding RNA of Anas platyrhynchos (mallard), 495 nucleotides long. NCBI's taxonomy places the organism in Eukaryota, Metazoa, Chordata, Aves, Anseriformes, Anatidae. The record is from RefSeq and is a predicted model, not a curated record.
AUUCUGAAAGCAGCAAAGCAAGCUAGAGGAAAACGUAUCCAAAACUCCGUAUCACAGCGGAUCUUCUCCUCUGAUCUGAAAAGCUUCACAGGCCAAAAGAGAAUUGAGAUGAAGAAGGAAAUAGAGAAUGCUGACCAGUAUUUCCAAUUACCACCCACACCACCCGGCUAGCCAAGCUAAACCAUUGAAAAUGGAAGGAGUGGGACAUCUUCAAAAGCCUGCUGCUGCUUCUAAGCAGAACUGCGCUGUAGGUGGGGACACAGCAAGAGGACACGUCCAGGCCACGGUGGAACUGCAAGGCACCUGUCUAAGCCACAGAAGGAAGUCAGCGCUUCCCAGUUGGAGACUGUUGCUCGCCUAGGGACACAGCAGCUGGAGCGCUUCUGGUUGCUGCUGAUGGGUUCCCGUGAAUCAGCCAGGGAUAGCAGCUAUGAGAACGACUGAAGCAAUCUGAAGAUACCUGAAAGAAAGAAAAGAGGAGAGAAGAAGACAAGA